CUACUGCGGAGACAUUAUCGAGUUUUUGGCGGGGUUGUAGCUGGCCUUCCGAGGCAUUGUGCACGCCCUGUUCAAUCCGCUCUUACCCCUGUGCACUUAUUGUGGGCUUCGGAUGGCAAAGCCGGCUUAGGCAGGCGGAGCGUCCGUGCCUGCGUUUACCACAAAACCUGUAAAGUAAUCGAAUGUGUAUUGCGGUGUAACGCAUCUAUAUACAACUUUCAGCAACGGAUCUCUUGGCUCUCGCAUCGAUGAAGAACGCAGCGAAAUGCGAUAAGUAAUGUGAAUUGCAGAAUUCAGUGAAUCAUCGAAUCUUUGAACGCACCUUGCGCUCUUUGGUAUUCCGAAGAGCAUGCCUGUUUGAGUGUCAUGAAAUCUUCAACCUACGAGUCCUUGUGGCUUGUUAGGCUUGGACUUGAAGGCUUGUCGGCCGCGGUCGGCUCCUUCUAAACGCAUUAGCCCGAGUCCUUGCGGACCGGCUCUCGGUGUGAUAAUUAUCUACGCCGUGGCCGUGAAGCGUGUGGUGGGCUUCUAAUUGUCCCUUGGGACGCAAAAAUGACCUCUGACCUCAAAUCAGGUAGGACUACCCGCUGAACUUAAGCAUAUCAAUAAGCGGAGGAA
RNAcentral lists this ribosomal RNA (618 nucleotides) under Perenniporiopsis minutissima. Its description in RNAcentral is "eukaryotic LSU rRNA". The stretch from base 214 to 367 matches the Rfam family "5.8S ribosomal RNA". The record is from RNAcentral. Lineage: Eukaryota; Fungi; Basidiomycota; Agaricomycetes; Polyporales; Polyporaceae.